Molecule: long non-coding RNA, 504 nt
Organism: Branchiostoma belcheri (Belcher's lancelet)
Lineage: Eukaryota; Metazoa; Chordata; Leptocardii; Amphioxiformes; Branchiostomatidae
Exons: 4
Source: RefSeq, a predicted model, not a curated record
GUCCGGCUGUAGCUGUGUGAUGGAACAGACGUGUUCUCUGAUGCGAUGAUCUAAUAGUCUUGAAAAGAGGACCAUUCCCGUGGCUUCUGAGGAAACCUUCCCCAGUAAACCUUCGGAAUUCCACCGACAGAAUCAGUCGGGGCGAGCGGGGACCAGAUCGGACAGGAAUGGCCGGGCGAGCAGAGAGCAGGCGGACGGCCGGGCGGGCCAGCGGGGAGCGGGCAGCCGGGCGGGCGGACAGUACCCCCAGCCGUAGAGGUACAGAUGAACCUACGAAGGACAGGUUGAAGCUAUUGAAAAGUAAACCUCAGACAUGCAGAGAGGGACACCUACUGUUCUACACUGAACACCAGUGCCGGCAUAUAAGGUUAUGCCCUGUCCGUGCUAAACUGACCGCACCUGCCAACGACGCAGGGUUCCGAACAGCGGAGACCAUCUCAGUGCACAGAGGCGGUUUCACUCUACAUGACGACAAACACAGCAGUUACUCAAGAAUACAAUCGA